GGAAAAUGCAGAACGGAGAAACGUUGCAUGCUGGGGAGUUGAGUCGCUGCCGGGCACUCGGUACUCCGGAGAGCGUUGCAUUCUGGGUAUUGUAGUCUUCCCAGCCCCUCGCUCAUUGUGCCGGACAAAUCGUGGAGUGCGGUGCUUGGUCCUGCCGGAUGCCCCAGGCCUCUGCCCAGUGCGUCCUCCUCAGAGGGGUAUCGGAAUUCGAGGCGGGCAUCGCGCUCCGCUCCCUCCUCCUCCGCUCAGUCUGCAGGGGUGGGGCAGUUUUCACCGCGAGGCGGGAGUUUGAAUCGCUCUCGCGGGUGCCGGCCUCCGCGCUAACUACCUCCCCUCACCUCAGCGCGGCCGUUUCCUCGGGCACGACGAGACAGGUCGCGGUGCCGUUUUGUGCUGUCCUGUUUCCGAAUCGGGACGAGCUCUGUGGAAAUAAUUGAUGGACAUUGGAGUGUCAAGAGAAAAAUAAAAAGGGUUUAAAGGACAAAUUUCCAGGGGCUGACGGAAAAACCUUAAAAGUAAUACUUUGAAGUGAAAGUGCCUUUCUUAUUAAAAUCCCUGAAUACAUAUUUUAAACAACUUUUUUUAUUUACCAUUGGGCUAGCAGACAGACUCCAGAUUUUCCUUGUGUUUGGAUAUUUUUUAAGGCUGCUUGUAGAUCUCUAUAUUCAUAGCAAAAGUGUUGCCUGUAAUCAUGAACAGUGGAAAUCAAUUUGUGGAAACUCUAAAGAAAGUUGGUUAUCCAAAAGCUGCUGAGCUUAAUGGAGAAGACUUUGACUGGUUGUUUGAAACUGUGGAAGAUAAAUCAUUUUUGGAGUGGUUUUGUGGAAAUGUGAAUGAGCAGCAUGUGUUAACUGAAAAAGAACUGCAAGCUUUUGAUGCUCUUCUUAAAUCUGGCAAGCCCAUUUUAGAAGAGGCGGCUUUGGAUGAAGUUCUUAAAACCUGCAAAACCUUUGAUUCAAAAUCAAGUAGCAUGGACGAAGGAGAACUUCAGAGGCUAGAGGAAGAAUUUCAAGCUCUUCAGAAAAUUAAAAACCUAAAAAUUCAUCGUCGUAAUAAGCUUCAAAUGAUGUCCUCAACAAACAGCCAUAUGUCACUGAAGUUAAAUGAUGAAGCAGAAGAAGCAGCUAAAAUUCUGAAAGAGGGACAAGGAAUUUUCACUGCUAUAAAUACUAAGAUAAAUAAUGAACUUCACUCUCUUACUGAAGGAGUUAAGAAGUUGACCUUUUUCUUCACCUUUUCUGACUCAGAACAAGGCUUAGGUCCUCAUCCAGUAUUUUUAUCCCAACUUGUCUUGGAUAAAUAUUUGUGUCAGGAAGAGAAAAGCACUGCUGCACUUACUUCAUACACAAAAAAACAGUUUUUUCAAGGUAUAUCAGAGUUGGUUGAAAGCUCAAAUGAAGAAAAUUUCCAACUUGUAGAUAUAAGCAAGCCAUUAAUUUGUGAUGAGAACAAUGAAGUCUGCAAGGAGAGACUUGAGAUGGCUAGGCUACAGAUGGCAUAUAUUUGUGCUCAACAUCAGCUGAUUCAACGUAAAGCUAAAGAUUUAAGCAUAAGCUCAGCUGUACAAUGGGCAGAGAAUAAUCUUCAAUCCUUACAGAACAAGACUUUUGGAAAAGAACACCUUGAGGCUAGAAUUUCUAGAUUAAACAGUGAAAUUUCAAAAAUAAAAAAACAGCUAACUCAAAUAAAUAAUGAAAUACUGCCUUCCCUGGUGAAGGAAAAUGCACAGCUAUUGAACAUGCCUGUGGUGAAAGGAGAUUUUGAUUUGCAGAUUGCUAGACAGGACUACUAUACAUCAAGACAAGAUCAAGUAUGCAAUCAGUUGCUAAAACAAAAAGCAUCAUUUGAACUUCUUCAGCUAGCUUAUGAAAUUGAAUUGAGGAAACAUCGGGAUAUCCAUCGUCAACUUGAGAACAUAAUACAAGAUCUAAAACAGAGCAGCAAGGCCCUAGAACAGAGACUGGAGAUGAUGUCUGACCCACUCAUAUCUGAGCAUGCAGUAACAAGGAACACUAUUGAUUCAAGGGAUGUUGCGUCUCAUAGGCUAUACCAGCUUUUGGAAGGAGAGAAUCAGAAACAACAAUUGUUCAGAACACAUGAAGGCAUUGAACAAGUGGCUCAGAAAUUAAAGCAAGAUAUUACUUCAGUGCAAGAUCAGCUAGCAGUAUCUUCUCAAGAACAAUUUCUCUUUUUGUCUAAGCUGGAUAGUGAUUUAGAUGCACUUUGUGACUCUCUGUAUUGUGGAGGAAAUAAGAUCUUGCUUAGUAACCAGGACCUAACAGAGCAACUUUAUCAACUGGAAGUGAACUUAAAUAAACUAAAUCAGCUUAUUAUGGAUCUUCUUGCUGAUGUAAAGGCCAAGAGAAAGGUUUUAGAGACAAAUACCCUGCAUCAGAUGGAAAGAAAAUUGUAUGUGUAUUUUUUCAAAGAUGAAGACUAUUUGAAAGAUAUUGUGGAGAAGCUCGAGCAUCAGUCUCAGGCUCAAACCAUUGGUCUAGAGGAUUAAACAUUAAAUGCAUCUUUGUUCUAUUGUUAAGAUGUGGAAAUAUUUAGUGUAGACUUUUCUUUGAUUCAGUAGGAAAACAAACCUUUUGGAUAAGUGCUUUAUUUGAUAAACUAAUACAUCAUUAUCAGCCUUAUCAAGAACAGACUGUAAGCUCCUUUAUAGUUUUUGGCGUACAGAGACUUCGGGUUCAUGCUUCAGUUUGUGAGAGUUUGCUUUAUAAGAGAGGGAAUGCAUUAAGUAUCUAGAUACUGCCAGACUACAUAUUAGCCUCUAGUACUUAAUGUGCAGAGUAAAAUGCAGAUUCUUGCUUCCAUGAUAUGCUUUUCCUUUGUCUUCAGAUGUUAUGAAAUCCUCUUCAUAUGUGAUCUGCAAAGUGAGUGCAGAGAAGGCAUUUUAGGGGUUGGAACCAAGGAAUGACUGUUGAAUAUAGUAUGCUUCCUUCUGAAGCAGAUGGUUUUCCUAAUAGUAAAAUUUUACAGUAAGUUCUGUCCUGUGAUCCUUUGAGAGGAUGUAAGGUGCAGUUGUGCGAAAGUAACAGCAUGUUUGGGUAUAGACCAAGUGUGUCUGCAUUUUUUUUUUCUACGAAUUGUCCAAAAUCCCUUGGAUUAAUUGAUUGCUCUUCUUGCUACUCUUCCAGACUCUUGCUCUUAGAAAUUCAAGAUUUUAGGAAGAGUUUUGAACUUUCCUUUUGUAGCAAGGUAUCCCAAAGAUGUUUGUGUUCAGCAGAUAAUUAAUCUGCUAUGAUCUCUUUCUUUUUUGGCUCACUCUAGAAUUUGUAGUAACACAAAUUUCAGAAUGUUUUAAUAAUUGCCAGACUUAUUCAGUUUUUAAUAAGAAAGAUAUUUGACUCAUCAACUGCAACCCCAAGAUAUGUGUAGCAAACAGUAUAAGAAACUUGUUAUAGAUUAAAGAGAAUUAAAUGUGAUUUCACACAGUUAUGGUGCCUUUUCUCUACUGUGUCCAUUUGAUCUGGAUCCUGAUGGGAGCAACAAUUCUACUUGCUCUCAGGUCAUAUACAGAUAUGUUUAUAAAUACGUAUUUGAUAAAGGGAAGCAAAUUAAGAAUGACUAUCUUUAUAACUGCAGGUAACUAUUUUUAGUGUAUAAAUAACAUUUUAAAUGUUUUUAACUGUAAAAUUGUAUUUGACAAUUACUUUUCAUGUUUAAAUGUAUAAGAGCACAGCCUCUGUUAAAAGUAUUAAGUACUUUAAAAUAUUUGAUGUUUGUAAGUCUGCACUGUCUUUUUUGAAUCCUAUUAAAUGUUUAAUCAUCUUGACUAUAAUCAUCAAUAAAUCAUAUCAAGGGUAAAAACACUACAAGUUAAUGGAAUGUGUCCUCCUACACCCGUUAUUAAAAAGAGAAAACGCAAUGGGUGCAUUUAUGUCCUUAAUAUUAAGUGAUUUAAAUCCGCAAACGUAAGGAUGUUUCAGGUUAAUGGUGGGAUUGGUUGCGACAAGCAUAACAUUUCUAUAUAUUCUGAUCCAUGGUAUAUUGUACCUUUUUGCCUGUCAAAUUCUAAAUCUAAUCUAGAUUUGCCACCUGGGAUAAGACUGACCCCUCCCACAAGAGAAAAAGUUAGUCUGCAUUUAAAAAUCUCUUCCUCUAGGGAGAAGCUACACACCUAAGGAACAAUGUCUUGACUGUUGUUUUUCUACCCAAGGGUUGAUGAGAAAAAUGGAGAGUUACAAGGAGUACAUAGAACAUGACCUUUGUAAAGUGCCACUAUCAAAUAUUGCUCAAAGGAUUAUGUCAGCUAUGCAGUCUAUUCCUUUAGAGAAAGCUCAGAAGAGCAGAGAAGGUGGACAGAGUGAGUAACUUGUUCAGUUUUUUAACUUAGUUGCAUAUUAUGUAUUUUUGAAAAUGGAAAGACUUAAGGGAAAAUUACCUUUCUAAACACUCACUUUUGUAUUUUGAGGGGUAAAAGUACCGUUUCAAUGGCUUUACGUAGAAAUAUCUCCAACACUAAGGCCUUGUCUAAACUAUGCAGUUUUGUUAACAAAAGCCAACUUUCAUCAGCAAACCAGUGGAGGUGUACACACUGAAAUGCUCCUUCCACUGAUGUAACUCCCCUGCUACACCAACAUAAUACAACCAUCUUGACGAGAGGCAUAGAACUUUUUGGGAUGUGGUUAGUCAUACAGCAUCAGUGUAGACACUCUGCUUGCUUAUGUUGCCCUAAUUGGCUUUCAGGAGUGUCCCACAAUGCCCAUCCUGACUGCUCUGGUCAGCAGUUUGGACUCUUGCCCUGCGGGUACACAGGCAUGCACCCCUCCUCCAUUUAAAGGCCUGGGAAUCAUUGAAAUUCCUCUUUGUGUUUGCUCUGUGUGGUCUGUUCCCACAGCAUCUUCCCAGCUGACUAUGCCAGCUUUCCACAACAGAUGCUCUCCCACGUGGAGUUUGCCAGAGGUGUUGGAUCUGCUAGGUCUGUGGGGAGAGGAGGCUGUGUAGUCACAGCUUUGCUCAAGCUGUAAGAACUUUGAUAUCUAUGAGCAGAUUGCUCAUUGCAUGCAGGAGAAGGGAUGUGAAAGGGAUACGCAGCAGUGCUGUGCCAAGAUCAAGGAGCUGCGGCAGACAUACCAGAAGGCAAGGGAGGCCAACCAUUGCUCUGGUGCAGUGCUGAAGAUGUGCCAUUUUGAGGAGUUGCAUGCUAUCCUUGGCCAUGAUCCACUUCCAAGAGCCCUGUGGAUACUUCGGGGGGGAACUGGAGGCAGCGACCAGAGGAGUCAACUCCACGGAUGAAGUGGUGGAUAUGAAGUGGACCUGGAUGAAGAUGAGGGACAUGCAACAGGAUUGUCCGGUACGAUGGCAAGCCAGGACCUAUGUUUGACUCCAGAGGGGUCUAGCCAGUCCCAGCACUCCAUCUCUGGCACACAUGAAGCAGGAGAGGGAAGCUCUGGUAAGCACCCAUUUUUCUUUCAUACUGCACAGUGACAGAUCUCAUUUACUUUUUUUAUAGUAGAAGAGGGAUAAGGGAUAGAAAUUAACAAUAAAGCCUAUGCAGGUAGGUAGUGGGACCUUGGUGAAAAAAGUUUGUUAAUGUACAUUGGGAUGUCCGAGGAAUCCUCCAUAGAGAUCUCUAGGAAACUUUCAUGUAGGUACUUGGCAAUCCACUGCUGAAGAUUUGUUGGCAGAGCUGCCUUGUUUCUCGCCCUGCUGUAGGAAACUUUAUCGUGCCAACUGACAAUUUUUUCUGCAGCGACCACAGUGGCACACAAGCAAGCAGCAUAUGGACCUGGUCUGGAGCCAUAUGCAUGCAAGAGAGGGACCCUUGCAUCCUGGGUUACCCUAUGGAAUGAGAUAUCGAGUUUGAUUAUCCCAGCCAGUGGAAGAAGGUGCCAAUAUUCAGAAUAUCUCCCUAGGCACAUGUAGUGACCCUCUUUGCAAACCACCUAUACCCUUUGUCUCUUCUUUGCCAUUCCCUCUUCCCAACCAACCCUGCCCCACCGAACUCACCAUAUUUGGGACUCUAACUGAACUGUGUGCUAGCCAAGGGACAGUGAGGAAGAGAUAUAUGUGGCUUUUGUGAUUCAUGGCUGGGAGUGCAGUCACAAUGCUGUGUCUGUUCAUUGUUUCUUUGGCUUUUGCAGAUGUGCCCUUGGGGACCAAUUCCUACACAUUAGCAGAAUGCUUCUGUCAGAUAAGAAGGCGAACCAGGAGGAGUAAGGAGGUUAUGUUUCUCAAAGUAUUGCAGUCAACAGAUACAGCAGAUAGCGAAAAGAGUGUGGAGGAAGACCAUUAAUGAAAAACUCAGGCUGGAUAGCCUGGAAAGGAGACAGGGGCAGGAGUGGAUGAUAAAGCCAUUAGAGGGUCAGACAGAGAUGCUCAGGUCCCUCACAGAGCUGCUGUCUGAGCAUAUCUGUGCAUGACUUCCUCUGCAGCGAAUGUAGAACUCUGUUCCAUGACCUCCCCAAACUCCCUCAACACAUUCCUUGCAUGUUCCCGUUCCCUCGUAGUACUCCUUGCACUCCAUCCCCAGAGACUGGUUUCAUGAUGAAACCUGGAGUUACACACAGCUGUGAGCCUGUUCCUCAUUUCCGUAUCCCCUGUUUGUGCCCAGAUCCCCCCACCCCAACAAAAAUUAUCCCU
Molecule: non-coding RNA, 6591 nt
Organism: Chelonoidis abingdonii (Abingdon island giant tortoise)
Lineage: Eukaryota; Metazoa; Chordata; Testudines; Testudinidae
Source: RefSeq, a predicted model, not a curated record